UGACCUCAAAUCGGGUGAGACUACCCGCUGAACUUAAGCAUAUCAA
RNAcentral lists this ribosomal RNA (46 nucleotides) under Lactarius vividus. Its description in RNAcentral is "partial 28S ribosomal RNA". RNAcentral also lists the same sequence under 4 other names. The record is from RNAcentral. Lineage: Eukaryota; Fungi; Basidiomycota; Agaricomycetes; Russulales; Russulaceae.